UACGUAGGGUGCAAGCGUUGUCCGGAAUUAUUGGGCGUAAAGAGCUCGUAGGCGGUCUGUUGCGUCGGCUGUGAAAACCCGGGGCUCAACUCCGGGCCUGCAGCCGAUACGGGCAGACUAGAGUUCGGCAGGGGAGACUGGAAUUCCUGGUGUAGCGGUGAAAUGCGCAGAUAUCAGGAGGAACACCGGUGGCGAAGGCGGGUCUCUGGGCCGAUACUGACGCUGAGGAGCGAAAGCGUGGGGGAGCGAACAGG
RNAcentral lists this ribosomal RNA (254 nucleotides) under uncultured bacterium. RNAcentral's name for it is "partial 16S ribosomal RNA". It matches the Rfam family "Bacterial small subunit ribosomal RNA", at positions 524 to 776 of the family's 1533-position model. The record is from RNAcentral.